UACGUAGGGUGCGAGCGUUGUCCGGAAUUAUUGGGCGUAAAGAGCUUGUAGGCGGUUUGUCGCGUCUGCCGUGAAAAUCCGGGGCUCAACCCCGGACUUGCGGUGGGUACGGGCAGACUAGAGUGUGGUAGGGGAGACUGGAAUUCCUGGUGUAGCGGUGAAAUGCGCAGAUAUCAGGAGGAACACCGAUGGCGAAGGCAGGGUCUCUGGGCCACUACUGACGCUGAGAAGCGAAAGCGUGGGGAGCGAACAGG
This 254-nucleotide ribosomal RNA is filed under the name uncultured bacterium. Its description in RNAcentral is "partial 16S ribosomal RNA". It matches the Rfam family "Bacterial small subunit ribosomal RNA", at positions 524 to 776 of the family's 1533-position model. The record is from RNAcentral.